This 327-nucleotide ribosomal RNA is filed under the name uncultured bacterium. RNAcentral describes it as "bacterial SSU rRNA". It matches the Rfam family "Bacterial small subunit ribosomal RNA", at positions 466 to 793 of the family's 1533-position model. The record is from RNAcentral.
CAUUUGACGUUAGCUGCAGAAGAAGCACCGGCUAACUCCGUGCCAGCAGCCGCGGUAAUACGGAGGGUGCGAGCGUUAAUCGGAAUUACUGGGCGUAAAGCGCAUGCAGGUGGUUUGUUAAGUCAGAUGUGAAAGCCCGGGGCUCAACCUCGGAAUUGCAUUUGAAACUGGCAAACUAGAGUACUGUAGAGGGGGUAGAAUUUCAGGUGUAGCGGUGAAAUGCGUAGAGAUCUGAAGGAAUACCGGUGGCGAAGGCGGCCCCCUGGACAGAUACUGACACUCAGAUGCGAAAGCGUGGGGAGCAAACAGGAUUAGAUACCCUGGUAG